This 441-nucleotide ribosomal RNA is filed under the name uncultured bacterium. Its description in RNAcentral is "partial 16S ribosomal RNA". It matches the Rfam family "Bacterial small subunit ribosomal RNA", at positions 338 to 795 of the family's 1533-position model. The record is from RNAcentral.
CCUACGGGCGGCAGCAGUGGGGAAUAUUGCACAAUGGGGGAAACCCUGAUGCAGCAACGCCGCGUGAAGGAAGACUGUUUUCGGAUUGUAAACUUCUGUUCUUAGUGAAGAAUAAUGACGGUAGCUCAGGAGCAAGCCACUGCUAACUACGGUCCAGCAGACUCGGUAAUACGUAGGUGGCACGCGUUUACCGGAAUUACUGGGUUUAAAGGGAGCGCAGGCGGGAAGACAAGUCAGCUGUGAAAACUACGGGCUUAACUUGUAGACUGCGGUUGAAACUGGUUGUCUUGAGUGAAGUAGAGGUUGGCGGAAUUCCGGGUGUAGCGGUGAAAUGCGUAGAUAUUCGGAGGAACACCGGUGGCGAAGGCGGCCAACUGGGCUUUAACUGACGCUGAGGCUCGAAAGUGUGGGGAGCAAACAGGAUUAGAUACCCUUGUAGUC